This 253-nucleotide ribosomal RNA is filed under the name uncultured bacterium. Its description in RNAcentral is "partial 16S ribosomal RNA". It matches the Rfam family "Bacterial small subunit ribosomal RNA", at positions 524 to 776 of the family's 1533-position model. The record is from RNAcentral.
GACAGAGGGUGCAAACGUUGUUCGGAUUCACUGGGCGUAAAGGGUGCGUAGGUGGUCGGGUAAGUCUGAUGUGAAAUCUCCGAGCUCAACUCGGAAAUGGCAUUGGAUACUAUUCGGCUAGAGGGUUUGAGGGGGGACUGGAAUACUUGGUGUAGCAGUGAAAUGCGUAGAUAUCAAGUGGAACACCAGUGGCGAAGGCGAGUCCCUGGAAAACUCCUGACACUGAGGCACGAAAGCUAGGGGAGCAAACAGG